Molecule: ribosomal RNA, 1532 nt
Filed under: Lactiplantibacillus plantarum
Lineage: Bacteria; Bacillati; Bacillota; Bacilli; Lactobacillales; Lactobacillaceae
Description: Lactobacillus plantarum partial 16S ribosomal RNA
Rfam family: Bacterial small subunit ribosomal RNA
Source: RNAcentral
UUAAUUUGAGAGUUUGAUCCUGGCUCAGGACGAACGCUGGCGGCGUGCCUAAUACAUGCAAGUCGAACGAACUCUGGUAUUGAUUGGUGCUUGCAUCAUGAUUUACAUUUGAGUGAGUGGCGAACUGGUGAGUAACACGUGGGAAACCUGCCCAGAAGCGGGGGAUAACACCUGGAAACAGAUGCUAAUACCGCAUAACAACUUGGACCGCAUGGUCCGAGUUUGAAAGAUGGCUUCGGCUAUCACUUUUGGAUGGUCCCGCGGCGUAUUAGCUAGAUGGUGGGGUAACGGCUCACCAUGGCAAUGAUACGUAGCCGACCUGAGAGGGUAAUCGGCCACAUUGGGACUGAGACACGGCCCAAACUCCUACGGGAGGCAGCAGUAGGGAAUCUUCCACAAUGGACGAAAGUCUGAUGGAGCAACGCCGCGUGAGUGAAGAAGGGUUUCGGCUCGUAAAACUCUGUUGUUAAAGAAGAACAUAUCUGAGAGUAACUGUUCAGGUAUUGACGGUAUUUAACCAGAAAGCCACGGCUAACUACGUGCCAGCAGCCGCGGUAAUACGUAGGUGGCAAGCGUUGUCCGGAUUUAUUGGGCGUAAAGCGAGCGCAGGCGGUUUUUUAAGUCUGAUGUGAAAGCCUUCGGCUCAACCGAAGAAGUGCAUCGGAAACUGGGAAACUUGAGUGCAGAAGAGGACAGUGGAACUCCAUGUGUAGCGGUGAAAUGCGUAGAUAUAUGGAAGAACACCAGUGGCGAAGGCGGCUGUCUGGUCUGUAACUGACGCUGAGGCUCGAAAGUAUGGGUAGCAAACAGGAUUAGAUACCCUGGUAGUCCAUACCGUAAACGAUGAAUGCUAAGUGUUGGAGGGUUUCCGCCCUUCAGUGCUGCAGCUAACGCAUUAAGCAUUCCGCCUGGGGAGUACGGCCGCAAGGCUGAAACUCAAAGGAAUUGACGGGGGCCCGCACAAGCGGUGGAGCAUGUGGUUUAAUUCGAAGCUACGCGAAGAACCUUACCAGGUCUUGACAUACUAUGCAAAUCUAAGAGAUUAGACGUUCCCUUCGGGGACAUGGAUACAGGUGGUGCAUGGUUGUCGUCAGCUCGUGUCGUGAGAUGUUGGGUUAAGUCCCGCAACGAGCGCAACCCUUAUUAUCAGUUGCCAGCAUUAAGUUGGGCACUCUGGUGAGACUGCCGGUGACAAACCGGAGGAAGGUGGGGAUGACGUCAAAUCAUCAUGCCCCUUAUGACCUGGGCUACACACGUGCUACAAUGGAUGGUACAACGAGUUGCGAACUCGCGAGAGUAAGCUAAUCUCUUAAAGCCAUUCUCAGUUCGGAUUGUAGGCUGCAACUCGCCUACAUGAAGUCGGAAUCGCUAGUAAUCGCGGAUCAGCAUGCCGCGGUGAAUACGUUCCCGGGCCUUGUACACACCGCCCGUCACACCAUGAGAGUUUGUAACACCCAAAGUCGGUGGGGUAACCUUUUAGGAACCAGCCGCCUAAGGUGGGACAGAUGAUUAGGGUGAAGUCGUAACAAGGU